UGGGGAAUAUUGGACAAUGGGCGCAAGCCUGAUCCAGCAAUGCCGCGUGUGUGAAGAAGGCCUUCGGGUUGUAAAGCACUUUUAUCAGGAAAGAAAUCCGCUGGGUUAAUACCUUGGCGGGAUGACGGUACCUGAGGAAUAAGCACCGGCUAACUUCGUGCCAGCAGCCGCGGUAAUACGAAGGGUGCAAGCGUUAAUCGGAAUUACUGGGCGUAAAGCGUGCGUAGGUGGUUUGUUAAGUCUGCUGUGAAAGCCCUGGGCUCAACCUGGGAAUUGCAGUGGAUACUGGCGAGCUAGAGUGCGGUAGAGGGUUGUGGAAUUCCCGGUGUAGCAGUGAAAUGCGUAGAUAUCGGGAGGAACACCAGUGGCGAAGGCGGCAACCUGGACCAGCACUGACACUGAGGCACGAAAGCGUGGGGAGCAA
Molecule: ribosomal RNA, 424 nt
Filed under: uncultured bacterium
Lineage: Bacteria
Description: bacterial SSU rRNA
Rfam family: Bacterial small subunit ribosomal RNA
Source: RNAcentral